CUGAGCAAGAUGGAGAAGCAGGGCACGUGCAUUACUAACUCAUCAUGCAAAUAUACUACACUUCAAUUCCAACUUGUGCUAUAUGAUCCCAUAUGCACGAGUCAGUUGUUAUUGGAGUAUUACAAGAUAUAAAAGGCUCAAUGGGUGGGUGUAUGCUUCAAUCUACCAAACCCUACCUGAGUAUCUUAUUGUCAUGGUUAUAAUCAAGAUACCAAACCCUGGAAGUAUUUAGCCAGCAUAGAAAAGAAUGCUUCUUCUUGUUCCGCUGAUUAUAAUUCGUCAGGAUGAACUUUGUAGUUGUAGUUCAUCGCAUAUGAAAUAAAAUCAGCGGAUGGUAGAUUUAGAAUGGAAUUUUAAAGUUUUAUAACCAAAGUUUAAUUAGGUGCUUCAAGCCUCCGUGUUGGUGUAUGCAAUUGAGUUAGUGGUUCAUGUGCCCAUCUUCCCCAUCAUGACCAC
This 456-nucleotide microRNA precursor is filed under the name Helianthus annuus (common sunflower). RNAcentral describes it as "sRNA HanXRQr2_Chr01g0009301". It matches the Rfam family "MIR164 microRNA precursor family". Lineage: Eukaryota; Viridiplantae; Streptophyta; Magnoliopsida; Asterales; Asteraceae. The record is from RNAcentral.